This 2757-nucleotide long non-coding RNA is filed under the name Homo sapiens (human). Its description in RNAcentral is "HSALNT0313302". Lineage: Eukaryota; Metazoa; Chordata; Mammalia; Primates; Hominidae. The record is from RNAcentral.
AAAUUAAAUCAUUAGUUUAGCUAUUUAAUUUUCAAAGGAUUUUAAAGGCUUUUCCUCCCAUUACUAGACAAAGAUGUUCAGUUUUCUGAGAAAACAUAGUUUCAACCAAAAUUGUUGAUCUUUUCAAAAUGUCAACAUUGACAAGUAAAUAAUUUAGCCAUUUUUUAAAAAUUUAAGGUCACUCUCUUCUUUUUUCUCUCCCCUUUAUUUUCAUAGUUUGGUGAAUGGACAAAGAAGAAUUUUAGGACAACAUUCAUCUAAUGGUUUCAGUUGCCUUUCUCUCUCUAGUCUUUAAAGUAUAUUAUCCCAUUUACCUUUUUUCCUACGUUUGUUCCCCCUUGGGUUCUGACUUGACAAAUUGGUCUUCAGCCUAAGUGUUUAUAAAAUUCCUUUUGUAUCUCUAAGUUGCAAAUACACCUUUAAGCUUAUGAAAAAUAAGUUAGUAUGACUACUGGUAUAAUGUGUUGCCAUUUUAUUAUAAUUUUUUUCCUUUUGAAAAUUGUGAGUGAAGAUUAUUAGAAAUAUGAGUCUUCCAUUGUGUGGGGGAGGAAAUAGAAUUUUCAAUUAUUCCUCAUUUUAAUGGAAUCAGAAUGAAAAAUCUGACUUCUCUAUCUAACUGUAAAUGUAGUAGCAAUAAUCUUGCUGCUAAUUUUUCCUUUCUGAAAUUACUGACACUGCUACCAUUUUUAUUACCAGAAGGAAAGUAAUCCACUGUUUUCUGGAACUACCUUAAAGAAAAAAGUAAUGAAAUUUUAGCACUCUCUGGAAUUUUUAAAGUGUCCACUUCUAGGGCCUAUAAAUAUUCUGAUUCUACCUACCACAGUCUCCACACCUGUAAUGUCUUAAAUCAGAAACUGUAACAAAUCUGGUUUGUGGCUGUGAACAGAGUGGGCUCCACUGAAAUACACGACCACCAACCUUUACAGUUAACUUUAGUCACUGCAUAAUUCAUUUUUAAUACUGCUGUAUCUUUUCUGCUUUAUCAAAAGUUAUGAUUUCAAGUUCUAUUUGUACCUUUUCUGGCUUAGUCUGAACCAGCUUUUUUUUUUUUAAUGUGUCAGGUUAUUAAUCAAAUUUAUACUGUUGUAAAAGUUUCCAUUACUCUCAGCAUCUCUUCCUGCCCCCGCAAUUUUUCACUAUUUGGAUCAAGGUAGCAUUUACCGAGUACUUAUUUUCACACAUUGUGCUUUGAUUAUUAUAUUUAAUUCUUUUUCUAUUUUUAAUGUAGAUUUUAUGAUACAAGCAUCACUGAGGCCUCUGAGAUAAAUUCCACCCAGUUGAGUUCAUUUCAGACUUCAAGUAAACAUUUUUGUUUCCACAGUGAUAAGCUUCUUUAUUUAGUUAAGAAUUACAUAUUAGAAUCUGCUAUGUAUGAAAGGACACACAUCUAAAUUAUAUAAGCGUAAGAAUAUUUUCAUCAAAUACUGAUUCAGCAUGUCUCUUCAGUUAUAUGUUGUAUAUGAGUUUAUUAUAAAAUGACUUCUCUUGAAUUUCUUUCUUAUUGAAGCUUAACCUUUAUGACAUCGCCAAAAAAUGUUGAGCCAUUCUUCAUAAGCUUAUCCAUUUCAGGCAUUAGCUAAAUGUCAUUUGGUGGCUUCUGUUACAUGAAUGUUGAAUCAGUAAGAGAAAUUAUCUGAAGUGGAUUUGAAGACUCUUCCUUUGAUUCUAGUGAAGAGAUCCUUUAAGACCCUGAGAAAACAUGUGGCAAUUCUCUGUGAAUUUGGAAAGGAAGCAUUCACCUAUGAAAGAAAAUGCUUCCAUCAGGUACUUCAAGGUUGAAGAGGCAGAGGACGAGUUAUCCACAAGGAAUUUGGAAGAGAAGCUUGUUUCAAAGUUGGAUGAGCCAUGAUUGAGGUUUUCUUGUAAUCAGCAAGCAAAAUAAAAACAAAAACAAGACAUGACAGAAAAAAAAAAACCAGUAUGUAAGUAGACGAAAUGACUUCCUGUUGGGGAGGUGUUUGACUGCGUGGGGGUGCACAUAAUCAAAAUCAUCAAUCCUACCCAAGCAUGACACUGGCAUAAAACACUACCAAAUGAUGACAUCCUGUUAUUCCUGCAUAAAAGGUAACUAUUUGGGAAAAAAUAACAUAUUAAGCUCAUAUAACUGUCAGUGUGAGAAAAUUUGUCAUAAUUUUUCAGCAGUCAGUUGGAGGAAAGAAGACUGAGAGAGAACAGGAACUUGCCUGGAAAAAAAACAUAACACAAUCUGAGUACAAUGUGUACAGUGUGGGUGAGCUCUGACAUUAAAGAGCAUAGAGUCAUAGAAACUUGAAAUUGGUUAAGUAAAGAAGGCCUGGUCAGAUGGGCUUGGUCAGAUUUGUAUUUCUAAAGAUAGAAAAGGUACAGUAAAAAUAUGGUACUAUAAUUUCAUGGGACCACAGUCAUAUAUGUGGUAUGUCACUGACUGAAAUGUUGUUCUGGGGUGCAUGACUGUAUAUCUGUGUAUUGCUCUUUUUAUAGCAGAGGUCUCCUUUUUUCCAUUCUCAUCGGGUGACAUGCCCUUUAAUCUCUUCCUUUUAAAAUUAUCUCUCAACAUAUACACUCUUUAAAUUUCUCAUUCCAAGAUUUUGCUCUCUUCUUUCCCCACAUAACCUGCAUUUUUGUACAGGUACUAUUUAAAUUCUCUUAUCCACGUUUCUCAUGUUUCUCUUCUCAUCUCCAGUUGUUAUAGCCUAUGAAUGUUUUGCAAAAAAAAAAUUAUUUUUUGAGUCAGGGUUUCACUUUAUCACCCAGGCUGGAGUCCGUCCACUGGCAGCA